ACCUUUUGUAUAAUGGGUCAGCGACUUAUAUUCUGUAGCAAGGUUAACCGAAUAGGGGAGCCGAAGGGAAACCGAGUCUUAACUGGGCGUUAAGUUGCAGGGUAUAGACCCGAAACCCGGUGAUCUAGCCAUGGGCAGGUUGAAGGUUGGGUAACACUAACUGGAGGACCGAACCGACUAAUGUUGAAAAAUUAGCGGAUGACUUGUGGCUGGGGGUGAAAGGCCAAUCAAACCGGGAGAUAGCUGGUUCUCCCCGAAAGCUAUUUAGGUAGCGCCUCGUGAAUUCAUCUCCGGGGGUAGAGCACUGUUUCGGCAAGGGGGUCAUCCCGACUUACCAACCCGAUGCAAACUGCGAAUACCGGAGAAUGUUAUCACGGGAGACACACGGCGGGUGCUAACGUCCGUCGUGAAGAGGGAAACAACCCAGACCGCCAGCUAAGGUCCCAAAGUCAUGGUUAAGUGGGAAACGAUGUGGGAAGGCCCAGACAGCCAGGAUGUUGGCUUAGAAGCAGCCAUCAUUUAAAGAAAGCGUAAUAGCUCACUGGUCGAGUCGGCCUGCGCGGAAGAUGUAACGGGGCUAAACCAUGCACCGAAGCUGCGGCAGCGACGCUGAUGCGUUGUUGGGUAGGGGAGCGUUCUGUAAGCCUGUGAAGGUGUGCUGUGAGGCAUGCUGGAGGUAUCAGAAGUGCGAAUGCUGACAUAAGUAACGAUAAAGCGGGUGAAAAGCCCGCUCGCCGGAAGACCAAGGGUUCCUGUCCAACGUUAAUCGGGGCAGGGUGAGUCGACCCCUAAGGCGAGGCCGAAAGGCGUAGUCGAUGGGAAACAGGUUAAUAUUCCUGUACUUGGUGUUACUGCGAAGGGGGGACGGAGAAGGCUAUGUUGGCCGGGCGACGGUUGUCCCGGUUUAAGCGUGUAGGCUGGUUUUCCAGGCAAAUCCGGAAAAUCAAGGCUGAGGCGUGAUGACGAGGCACUACGGUGCUGAAGCAACAAAUGCCCUGCUUCCAGGAAAAGCCUCUAAGCAUCAGGUAACAUCAAAUCGUACCCUAAACCGACACAGGUGGUCAGGUAGAGAAUACCAAGGCGCUUGAGAGAACUCGGGUGAAGGAACUAGGCAAAAUGGUGCCGUAACUUCGGGAG
RNAcentral lists this ribosomal RNA (1137 nucleotides) under Escherichia coli. RNAcentral's name for it is "bacterial LSU rRNA". It matches the Rfam family "Bacterial large subunit ribosomal RNA", at positions 603 to 1742 of the family's 2925-position model. Lineage: Bacteria; Pseudomonadati; Pseudomonadota; Gammaproteobacteria; Enterobacterales; Enterobacteriaceae. The record is from RNAcentral.